RNAcentral lists this ribosomal RNA (492 nucleotides) under uncultured bacterium. RNAcentral's name for it is "partial 16S ribosomal RNA". It matches the Rfam family "Bacterial small subunit ribosomal RNA", at positions 29 to 507 of the family's 1533-position model. The record is from RNAcentral.
AUUGAACGCUGGCGGCAUGCUUUACACAUGCAAGUCGAACGGUAACAGGCCUUCGGGUGCUGACGAGUGGCGCACGGGUGAGUAAUGCAUCGGAACGUACCCAGAGGUGGGGGAUAACGCAGCGAAAGCUGUGCUAAUACCGCAUGUGAUCUGAGGAUGAAAGCGGGGGACCGAGCAGCAAUGUUUGGCCUCGCGCCUUUGGAGCGGCCGAUGUCGGAUUAGCUAGUUGGUGGGGUAAAGGCCUACCAAGGCGACGAUCCGUAGCUGGUCUGAGAGGACGACCAGCCACACUGGGACUGAGACACGGCCCAGACUCCUACGGGAGGCAGCGGUGGGGAAUUUUGGACAAUGGGCGCAAGCCUGAUCCAGCAAUGCCGCGUGCGGGAAGAAGGCCUUCGGGUUGUAAACCGCUUUUGGCAGGAACGAAACGGUGUCCGCUAAUACCGGGCGCUAAUGACGGUACCUGCAGAAUAAGCACCGGCUAACUACGUG